Molecule: long non-coding RNA, 427 nt
Organism: Neodiprion virginianus
Lineage: Eukaryota; Metazoa; Arthropoda; Insecta; Hymenoptera; Diprionidae
Exons: 4
Source: RefSeq, a predicted model, not a curated record
AGAAAAUCACGACACGCGUGUACUUCUGCCGUGCUUCUCUCAAGUUUUGAAUCUGCCGCGUUACCGACGAAGGCCACCGACCGAUGGCGCGGUAGAGCACGGGCUUGGGGAGACGACCAGUAAAUUUUGAGAGAAAAAAAUUCAAAAAGAAAAUAUUCAACAAGGUUGAACGAAGGAGAUAGCAGUUAUCACGAGACCUUUAUAUAGAAUUAAAAUAUAGGAAUUAGAAGCUUUAAAUGUUGUUUCUCUUACUUUUACAGGUAAGAACUAAGAUUAUUAGUGAGUUUUGUACAUAGUGUAAAUACAUAGUGUAAAUAAAUCUCUUACUUUUACAGAAACGCAAUUGAGUUUUUGAUUCUAACGUAAACUGGACGCGGAAAGACUUAUUACACAUAUAAAAAUUCACAACAUAAUUUAAAAAAAAAAC